UUCCGGUUGAUCCCGCCGGACCUGCGCCAAUCGGUCCAUCCUUCGCGGCGGCUGGUGAUCCUUGGCCAGUCACCGCCAACUCGAAGGAACUGGGAGGCGAGAUUCCCAUCCCGGCUCCAGCCGAUCUGGGAGAUCUGUCCGGUUUUGCCGCGGGCUUCAAAGCACCGAUCGCCAUGGCCGACGGCAAGCGGUUCAAGCCGGGCAAGGCGUACAAGGACAGCAAGCUCUGCAACAUGAUCACCACCCAGGAGUUGCACCGCCGUCUACACCAGGACACCGGCAUUGUGUUCACAUCGCUCUAUCCGGGCUGCGUGGCCGAUACCCCCCUGUUCCGCAACACUCCCCAGGCCUUCCAGACGAUCUUCCCCUGGUUCCAGAAGACAAUCACCGGUGGCUAUGUGAGCCAGGCCCUGGCCGGUGAGCGGGUGGCCCAGGUGGUGGCCGAUCCAGACUUUGCGGUGUCGGGCGUGCAUUGGAGCUGGGGCAACCGUCAGAGCAAGGGUGGCAAACAGUUCAGCCAGGAGCUCUCCGAUAAGGCCAGCAAUCCGGAAACGGCACGCCUCACCUGGGAGUAUUCGAUGAAGCUGGUGGGGCUGGNCUGACAUGGNCCUGCGGCCGGCGGCAAUCUUGGCA
RNAcentral lists this ribosomal RNA (633 nucleotides) under uncultured archaeon. Its description in RNAcentral is "partial 16S ribosomal RNA". The record is from RNAcentral.